AACGAACGCUGGCGGCAGGCCUAACACAUGCAAGUCGAGCGAGGACUUCGGUUCUAGCGGCGGACGGGUGAGUAACGCGUGGGAAUGUGCCCUUCUCUACGGAAUAGCCCUGGGAAACUGGGAGUAAUACCGUAUACGCCCUAUUGGGGAAAGAUUUAUCGGAGAAGGAUCAGCCCGCGUUGGAUUAGGUAGUUGGUGGGGUAAUGGCCUACCAAGCCGACGAUCCAUAGCUGGUUUGAGAGGAUGAGCAGCCACACUGGGACUGAGACACGGCCCAGACUCCUACGGGAGGCAGCAGUGGGGAAUCUUAGACAAUGGGGGCAACCCUGAUCUAGCCAUGCCGCGUGAGUGAUGAAGGCCUUAGGGUUGUAAAGCUCUUUCAGCUGGGAAGAUAAUGACGGUACCAGCAGAAGAAGCCCCGGCUAACUCCGUG
RNAcentral lists this ribosomal RNA (433 nucleotides) under uncultured bacterium. Its description in RNAcentral is "partial 16S ribosomal RNA". It matches the Rfam family "Bacterial small subunit ribosomal RNA", at positions 29 to 507 of the family's 1533-position model. The record is from RNAcentral.